This 497-nucleotide ribosomal RNA is filed under the name uncultured bacterium. RNAcentral's name for it is "partial 16S ribosomal RNA". It matches the Rfam family "Bacterial small subunit ribosomal RNA", at positions 28 to 507 of the family's 1533-position model. The record is from RNAcentral.
GAUGAACGCUGGCGGCGUGCCUAAUACAUGCAAGUCGAGCGAACAGACGAGGAGCUUGCUCCUCUGACGUUAGCGGCGGACGGGUGAGUAACACGUGGAUAACCUACCUAUAAGACUGGGAUAACUUCGGGAAACCGGAGCUAAUACCGGAUAACAUUUUGAACCGCAUGGUUCAACAGUGAAAGACGGUCUUGCUGUCACUUAUAGAUGGAUCCGCGCCGCAUUAGCUAGUUGGUAAGGUAACGGCUUACCAAGGCAACGAUGCGUAGCCGACCUGAGAGGAGGAUCGGCCACACUGGAACUGAGACACGGUCCAGACUCCUACGGGAGGCAGCAGUGGGGAAUCUUCCGCAAUGGGCGAAAGCCUGACGGAGCAACGCCGCGUGAGGGAAGAAGGUCUUCGGAUCUUAAAACUCUGUUAUUAGGGAAGAACAAAUGUGUAAGUAACUAUGCACGUCUUGACGGUACCUAAUCAGAAAGCCACGGCUAACUACGUG